This is a long non-coding RNA of Scophthalmus maximus (turbot), 4933 nucleotides long. Lineage: Eukaryota; Metazoa; Chordata; Actinopteri; Pleuronectiformes; Scophthalmidae. The record is from Ensembl.
AUGUUUAACCUGUGUGUGUGUUUGUGUGCGUGUGUGUGUGUGUGUGUGUGCGUGUGUGUGUGUGUGUGUGUGUGCGCUUGUGCGUGUGCGUGUGUGUGUUUGUACAUGUCAGAGUCGGAGCUGACGGACGAGGUGUCGUGUCUCUCGGACUCCACCUCCGAGGAGCAGUCCCUCAGCUCCUACACCUCGGAGUCCUUCGAUGACAACGCUUCCAUAGUGACAGUCAUACGUCUAGUCAACGAUGCCGUUGAUGAUAUUGAAAGUGAAGUGUCCAACAUGGACAAAGAGCAGCAGCGGAACAGCCCUGCGUGCAGCUGGGACUCUUCCAGCCAGAGUACGAGCUGGCUGUCACCGGCACGUCUGCGUCCAGCAGAGGUGGGGUCCCACUGCGACCUCAGCGACGCCCAGCAGAACAUCAGACGGGGGGGCAGCACGCGCUCCCUCCAGCUGGACUACCGAGCACCGGGCCGCGGCGCGGACCGCGGCCGGGAGCGGGGCCGGGACUCCGGGAGGAGGGCCUUCCAGUGGGAGAGGAAUCAGUCGGGCGAGUGGGAGCGGAGACGCGUCCCGGACAGAGAUGACAAGAGGCGGCAGGACGGGGAAGGAGAGGGCAGAGGCGUGGGGGGGCGCCAGGACCACAGAGACCCUCAGCAGGUGCACAGCCACGACAGCGAGGGCAGCUCCUCGCCCGUUUACGAGGAAUACCGAGAGUGCGGCCGCGACCCGGAGGGCGGCGAGGGCCGAGAGAGCCUGUACGACACUCUGCCCCCGACCAGGCGAGCCUACGAAGGGUACCCGCCGAGCCCCCCGGGCCUCCACCUGCACCCGGCUCAACUCCUGCCCCCCCUCAGGGCGUGGGAUUUACAGACAGGCGAGUGGAGGCAAUCGCAGGAGGAGAAUCGCGGCGGGCUCGACGCCGGCCACCUGGCGGGCUCCGGGGACGAGCUGGAGAGACUGCUGAACCUGGUGUCGCUCCGAGCGCGGAGGGCCACGCGAGUGAACAGAGCGUCCACCGCAUCCGAGCCCCCGGCCGACUGGGACGGAUUUAAAUGAGCACAAAAAGAAAACUGUGUUUAAGACAAAAACUAAAACGAUUUAAUAUUCCUUUAUUUAUUCGAGUGGCGGUGGCCACUCUCUCUCUCUCUCUCUCUCUUGAUUAGACCUGACAUUUAUAAUACCACACCGUUGAUCUGCCACCUAAAGAAUUAUUAAAAGAGAAUAUUACCAUAUAUACUGUUAUGAUCCCACAUUAUUAUCCCGCUGUAAGCAAACACUAAUCCACCAGCAAUCCCCCCGGCUCUGUUUCUGAGCUGGAGGGAAGAAAAAAAAGAGGAAAUAUAUGUGUUCUCCAGACGCACCUUCUCGUACCUGCGCUGUGUGAGCCCGUGAGAGUCAUUGGCCGAAAAUCAAUGCCGUUACAUUUAUUAUUUAUAGAACCGCUGGUGCACGGCGUUUAUCAACAGCAAAAUAUGAAAGGGAGCCAGUGUGUCUGUGUUUCAUGUGCUGCCAGUUGUUGUGUACAUAUGUUCUGUCAUAUGCAUUUCCUACAUUGUCCUGCUGGAUCACACAAACAAGCAUUUUGUAUUCACGGAGGAGUCUGUAAACGCCGCCGCCGCCGCCGCCGCCAAACAAGUGAAUAAAGUAUAAGUCUUCAAUUAAUAAUCUGUAGAAUAAUUAAAUGAUUUAAUUAAAGAUCCCCCCUGGUAUUGGCUUCUGGUCCUAAUCCUGAUGCCAUCUGAGAAGCUGUGUCACGGAUGUGGGCGAAUAGUUUGCCUCGCGACGACCCAGAGCGUUUGUCAAUAGAAAAUUAGAAAUAAGAAAUGCAUUAAUUGCUUGGUUGGUUGUGUGUGUGUGUGUGUGUGUGUGUGUGUGUGUGUGUGUGUGUGUGUGUGUGUGUGUGUGUGUGAGAUCCAACAGAACAAUUGUCUUUGCACUUGGAGAGAGAAAAUUGCCUUUUGUCUUCUGGGUGAAUGUGUACCUGGUGCUGCUUGUAGGCAGGUGAGCUUCUAUCUCAACACAGACGUACAUGAGAUAAAUAAUCCCCAUAAAACAUUUAAUCCCAUCAAGUCGUCAGUCUCCUCACGCCUCUUAAAUGGGUUUUUUUUUCUCUCUUCCCUGGCAGAUUCAUUUAGCGGAGCUUACAGUCACCGAUGUCCUGGGAAGACACGGAGGCGUGAAAGAAAAAAGGAAAAACGCGUCUUGAGGAAUGUCAAGUGCAUUAUCAGUCAAAUGGGAUGGUUUUUUUGUGGGGGGAAUCAUGUCAGAUGAUUUGGAGAAGGUGCUGUGAUCGCCGGUGUCGAUUUCAGUCUAAUCUUCUCAUAAUGCCUUUUUGUUUACCUCAGGAGCAGAUUUACUUUCCUGCCCUGAAUCGAUGUAUCCAGCUCAUCGUCGGUCUCCUUUCCUUUUAACCUGCGAGUGGGAGCUCCUCUCCCUCCACGCGGACCGUGGAGCUGUUGUUAGAUAAUACUGUUGAGAACUACAUUCCCGCAGCCUCGGGGGCGACGGUCACAUGAUCCGAAUGGAAGCAACUUUAAUUACUGAAUGUGACGCCGCCUGCUGCCUGCGAGUUGAGGUGACAUUUCCCAGUCCGCGCGUCAUCUGCGCCCUCGAAAGGUGAAGAGUCAGUAACUCUGGAUCGGCUGUGAGAGGCUGAAGGCGGACACGACGGUCAGCGAGCUCCGCGCUCACUCCCCGUCUGUCACUCACAAGGAGGCGAGCCAAGGAACCUUUGCAGUUUGUUUUUUUUUAUUUACCCCAUCCCCCCUGCGCGGUUGGCACAAACUCUGUCCUUGUUCUCAUCCAAACCGUUCCACAAUUAAACAAUGCUGUCUGCCAGGAAGCAUUCCCAUGGCAACCAGACGUGCCCCUGAUUGUGCUUCCUUUUUUCUCUGUCACAUACAAGACAUUUUGGCCAAUUAAGAGGUGUGUGUGUGUGUGUGUGUGUGUACACGUUUGUGUGCAGAGUUGCUUGACAUGAGGAAUGGCCCUCGUCCACUCCUAAACACAUAAUAUUUAAGUAUCGCGUGGAGACCGACCGAUAUUGGAUUUAUGGGCGCCGAUAUUACAGAGCGAAACAAUUAUGAUAGCGAUAUAUCGGCCGAUAUUCUUCAUACAUAUUUUUAUAAACAUAUUUUUUGCAUUGAUGAUCUCCGAUAGGCCCAUAUGAACCGGUCGGGCUCUGGUGUGGCGUAUGAAUCCACGAGACAGGUCAGGAUUCAGUGGUAGCAUGCGUGUCUUAGUGUCUUAGGUCUGAGUAAUUUCCAAAGUGUGUGUGUGUGUGUGUGUGUUUCAGGAUCCCCCCAACAGCUCUGGCACUAGUUGAAUUUUCAACACAGAAAUCACUUUGUCAUGUCACAGCAACUGUUACAUUUUUUCUGAAAACCGUGGAUAUUGUUUUUUUCUUUGGGGGGGGGCGAUACGCUUCAUGUAUGUUUUAGCGCAUGCCAGUUUGUGUCAGUGCAAGUCAGUGCGAGUCGGCCGGCUCGUUCCAGCUCUGUCCCCCCCUGCAGGAAGGGUGAACCACAAAAGGCUCAGGACAGGUACAGGGCCACAUGUCGAGGAAGACGAGUGCCUUAUUUUCCUCCACGCUUGGAAUAAAUGUGUGUUUGCGGUGUUAAAAAUGCACAUCGAAUUCGACUAAACUCGUCACCGCUGGAGACAAGUUUUCCGACUUCGCCGCCCGAGAACUAAUUAGCUUGUUUUUUUCUAUGCUCCGCAGUGUGAUCCCAACACCUGGAUCCAUGUGUUCCUCUGUUACGCCCUUCCUGUCACAACACGGCAACGCGGGAAAUGAGAUUUAUAUCAAUUAGCAUAAUAUGCAAAAAGAUCCCCAGCGAAAGCUGCCAGAUGUCCCCAAAAGAGGUGAAGUCUACUCAUUCAUUUAUGUAUUUUGUGUGUCUGUGUGUGUGUGUGUGUGUGUGUGUGUGUACGGUGAUCAUUACCCACAGGACAUGCAGCCUUACCAGCGUAAAAAACCUUACAUAACAUUACAUCUGCCUCCAGUCAUACAUUAUGUUCACACACACACACACACACACACACACACACACUGGCGAUCAGGGGGAAGAAAACCACCAGAUUCCAGAUUCAUGGCUUAUUAAAUUAUUCUGACAGGGAUUAUGUAACUUACUUUCUCUGGCACACGCUCCUUUAUGACCAAACCCGCUCGUUUCACUCAGUCCCGAGCCGAGCAGGCUGCAGCCGUCCCAGUGAAGGACACGGGGUCAAACCAAAGGUGAAAAACACGAGGGGCGUGUGAGGGAGAGGGAGAGGGGGGGCCUAGGAGACUGUUGUGUUUAUUCAUCAAGCUUCAGAGGAGCCUGAUGAAGACCUGCCAGUCUCUUUAGCUCUGCUGGCUUUUCAUCGGACCAUCUGGCAUUUACACCAUAGAGUAAGCUAAGCCACUUAAAACCUCUUUCUACCCCCCCAUUUGUAUUUAUUUAUUUAUUUAUUUAUUAUUUCUUUCUUCUUUCUGCUCCACUUUUCACAAUUCCCCCCAGAUCCGGCUGGACGUGGCAGCACCGACGGGGAAAGGGGAAUGGGUGGACAGCAGGAUGAAAGGAUGUUACAUAAAUGGAGGAGCAGAGCGAAGGGCGAGAGAGGAGAAGUGGGGGCAAAAAACGUGAGGGGAGAUUAUUACCACCACCACCCCAGUCACUAGCGUAUCCAGGGGUAUAGCUGUGUGGGUGAUUAUACAUCCACGCUGUUCUCGGUAACGCCACGGAUUACACACCCGGCCAGACCUAAUCUAUGUGCCCAACAUCUGCCUCGGAUGACACAUGCACACACACGCACACACGCGCACACACACGCACACACACGCAAUCAGACAUAAUAUGCCUACACUGCUAAAAUGAGGCAGGGGGGAGGGGGAGGAGGAGAAGAGGGGGGGGGGAUGGGCAAAUUGAAUGGGAAGGGGUCGUCACGUCCAUGU